GGCUCUGUAGCGCAAUGGACAGCGUGUUGGACUUCUAAUUCAAAGGUUGUGGGUUCGAGUCCCACCAGAGUCG
RNAcentral lists this transfer RNA (73 nucleotides) under Anguilla anguilla (European eel). Its description in RNAcentral is "tRNA-Arg". It matches the Rfam family "tRNA". Rfam says of the family: Transfer RNA (tRNA) molecules are approximately 80 nucleotides in length. Their secondary structure includes four short double-helical elements and three loops (D, anti-codon, and T loops). Lineage: Eukaryota; Metazoa; Chordata; Actinopteri; Anguilliformes; Anguillidae. The record is from RNAcentral.